RNAcentral lists this unclassified non-coding RNA (213 nucleotides) under soil metagenome. Its description in RNAcentral is "partial internal transcribed spacer 1". The record is from RNAcentral.
AAAAUAUUUGGUCUCGUGCCAAAUUUACACCUGUGUGCACCAUUGUCUGUAUUGGUAGCUCGAGCGCGCUCCGGAAGCUCAACACUUCCAUUAGGGGCGCCUACCCUUGCGGGUCACAUCCCGCUUGGUUGGGCUACCGCCUUUUUUUGAAAACCUUUUUGUUUGUCUUUUGUCUGAACGAAGAGUUGAUCUUAAUUGAUUAAUGAUUGAAAA